RNAcentral lists this ribosomal RNA (356 nucleotides) under Fusarium equiseti. Its description in RNAcentral is "eukaryotic LSU rRNA". The stretch from base 15 to 166 matches the Rfam family "5.8S ribosomal RNA". Lineage: Eukaryota; Fungi; Ascomycota; Sordariomycetes; Hypocreales; Nectriaceae. The record is from RNAcentral.
AAAAAAUAAAUCAAAACUUUCAACAACGGAUCUCCUGGUUGGCAUCGAUGAAGAACGCAGCAAAAUGCGAUAAGUAAUGUGAAUUGCAGAAUUCAGUGAAUCAUCGAAUCUUUGAACGCACAUUGCGCCCGCCAGUAUUCUGGCGGGCAUGCCUGUUCGAGCGUCAUUUCAACCCUCAAGCUCAGCUUGGUGUUGGGACUCGCGGUAACCCGCGUUCCCCAAAUCGAUUGGCGGUCACGUCGAGCUUCCAUAGCGUAGUACUCAUACACCUCGUUACCGGUAAUCGUCGCGGCCACGCCGUAAAACCCCAACUUCCGAACGUUGACCUCCGAUCAGGCCCACACCCACUCCCCCAG